GACGAACGCUGGCGGCGUGCUUAACACAUGCAAGUCGAACGGAAAGGCCCUGCUUGCAGGGUACUCGAGUGGCGAACGGGUGAGUAACACGUGGGUGAUCUGCCCUGAACUUCGGGAUAAGCCUGGGAAACUGGGUCUAAUACCGGAAAGGAGCCAUUUUUAGGGUGAGGGUUGGAAAGUUUUUUCGGUGUAGGAUGAGCUCGCGGCCUAUCAGCUUGUUGGUGGGGUAAUGGCCUACCAAGGCGGCGACGGGUAGCCGGCCUGAGAGGGUGGACGGCCACAUUGGGACUGAGAUACGGCCCAGACUCCUACGGGAGGCAGCAGUGGGGAAUAUUGCACAAUGGGCGCAAGCCUGAUGCAGCGACGCCGCGUGGGGGAUGACGGCCUUCGGGUUGUAAACUCCUUUCGCUAGGGACGAAGCUUUUUGUGACGGUACCUAGAUAAGAAGCACCGGCUAACUACGUG
RNAcentral lists this ribosomal RNA (465 nucleotides) under uncultured bacterium. RNAcentral describes it as "partial 16S ribosomal RNA". It matches the Rfam family "Bacterial small subunit ribosomal RNA", at positions 28 to 507 of the family's 1533-position model. The record is from RNAcentral.